Long non-coding RNA from Carya illinoinensis, 2043 nucleotides. RefSeq lists it as uncharacterized. The transcript has 2 exons. NCBI's taxonomy places the organism in Eukaryota, Viridiplantae, Streptophyta, Magnoliopsida, Fagales, Juglandaceae. The record is from RefSeq and is a predicted model, not a curated record.
AAGCUGCUAGCUAAGCCAUCUACUCGCCCCACAAUUAAUUACAGAAAACUCGGGUGCAGUGUACAGACCCAAGAUUUUUAAAAGAAAUCAAAUGAUCAUAUCUUAAAACUUAUCAGUACGUUGAUUGAAUUUGUGGUGGUCCACUAGCUACCAUGUGACUGAACCAAAUAAAAGAAGAAGAAGAAUCAUCAAGGAAAGAGAAAAAGCUAUUUUGGGGAUUGAACAGAUCCCUUUUUCCAAAUCCAUUGUUAGCAGAAACAUAUGCUGCCCUUCAUGCAACUAUUCUGGGGAUUGAGCUGGGUUUCAAGAGGAUCGUACUAGAAGGGGAUGCUCUUCUUGUUAACAAGGCUAUUGAAAGCACAGAAACAACUUUGGACAGUAAAGGCCUGGUCAUUUGUGAUGUUAAAAAAAUGCUUUCUCAGUAUGAUAGCUAGGCUGUUAAACAUGUAAGGAGAGAAGCAAGCGUUGUUACUCAUGCUCUAGGACAAAAUGCAUUAUCUAUCUCUGAUGUCAUCGUUCACAUAGAGGAAGUUCCAUUUUGUAUUCAAUCUCUUUUAUAGAGUUUUUUUAACAAUAAAAGAUUUUCUUCCCCUAAAAAAAGAAUAGGAGGUGUUUGUAACUUCUUGGGGUCUAUAUUCAUGAUAUAUAUUGAAAUUCUAGCCAUUUUUAUUUUUCCUUCUGAAAAUAUGUUUAACUUGCACAGAUUAGUUCUCACAGAUGCCACACCUACACAACUAAGAAGCUGUGCUACAAGUGGAAAUAUAUGGGCUCCAGACAUGCCUACCCUAGGUUCCAUUUUAAGGGCUGCUUUUGAAAUAUAGAUGAUUAUACAAGAAUUGUGGAAAUCUUGCACUGAAGGUUCAGGGUAUUUUGUUUAUGUCUUUCUUUCCCUUGUAUUUUGCCAAAUUGAUAUUGAAGAAUAAUGAUGUGCGUAUUGUGAAAUGGAAAGAUUCACCAUAUAUUCUUUUCCAUUGAUUUCCUGGAUCUGCUCAAGUGCAUACUUGGGAACCCUUUAUUCCUUGCAUAUGCUUUUCCACCUCCGUACCAAUAAAAGGUAUUUUCCGAUCGGGUUAAAGCAAUACCCUCUAUGUUUGUUAUGCUGAAUGUCUAACUAUUCGAACAUGCAAUUUUUUCUUUUCAAACUGACAAAUUGUUGAACUUGACAAACUUGACAAAUUAUUGAGCUCCGAAACUGCUACGUUUUGAACGAAGGGAAAUUUGCAAUUGGUAAGAGAAAAUUGCAUGUUCCAAGGCCUUCUGUAUGCCUAUUAGUAGGAAUAGAUCGAAUCAUUAAUUAAUGUUUGGCAAACAUGAGCUCCCCAAUUAAUUAAUGCAAGAGCAUCUCUGUAUGCCUAUUAGUUUUCGAAAAUUGCAUGUUUGGCAUAAAAGAUUUAACAUGGAGGCUGCUUGGAUGCAAAAUCAGUCUAAUUUUGGUUUGAUGCUGUGGGAUAUGAUUAAGUAUAAAGAUGUUGAGUUAGUCUUAAUUUUCUAAAGUAUUGAUGGAGAAUAUGGCGAUGCAGGAAUCUUAGUUUGUAUAAAGCUACUGACUGGACUCCUUUGCGGAUCAUAAAUAUUGAUAGCUGUUUAGCAUAUGUUCACAGUUACAGAACACUGAAGUCAAGUAGAUGUUUAAAUGCAAGGGAAAAAAAAUUCUGAAAUGGCAAACACCUCCGGCCUAAAGGAUAAGCUGAGUUUUGAUGGGUCUUAGGAUUCACUUGAAGCUGGCUAUGAGCAGAAAGGAAGAGGCUGCUGCAGAUGUGGAGGCCAGUGCAGCACUUAAGAGGCCUACAAAUGGCCUUAUUCUAGCAACGAUCAAAUACCUGCUUCAGACUUUUUAUUUCCAUGAAGCAUCCCAUGUUUGUAGAGAAGGCAAUGGAGCUGCUCAUUUACUUGGUAUUCAUGCCAAAUGUAUCAAUGAUACUGCUGUAUGGUGGGAUUCUCCCCUGAUUUUAUUCUACGAAGGACUCUUGUAAAUGCUGCUAUGUAAUUACUUGAUUUAGUCAGUAAUGAAAUAUUCUAUAAUCGAAGAAAAAAGUUUGUUUA